RNAcentral lists this ribosomal RNA (459 nucleotides) under uncultured bacterium. RNAcentral describes it as "partial 16S ribosomal RNA". It matches the Rfam family "Bacterial small subunit ribosomal RNA", at positions 338 to 795 of the family's 1533-position model. The record is from RNAcentral.
CCUACGUGUGGCUGCAGUGAGGAAUAUUGGUCAAUGGCCGGAAGGCUGAACCAGCCCAGCCGCGUGAAGGACGAAGGUGCCAAGCAUUGUAAACUUCUUUUGUCAAGGGACAAAAUCAGGCUCGAGAGCCUGACCGAGUGGACUUGAAGAACAAGCAUCGGCUAACUCCCUGCCAGCAGCCGGUGUAAUACGGAGGAUGCGAGCGUUAUCCGGAUUUAUUUGGUUUAAAGGGUUCGUAGGCGGGCUGUUCAGUCAGCGGUAAAAGCCCGGUGCUCAACCCCGACGAGCCGUUGAAACUGGCUGUCUUGAGAGGGCGAGAGGUAUGCGGAAUGCGCAGUGUAGCGGUGAAAUGCUUAGAUAUUGCGCAGAACUCCGAUUGCGAAGGCAGCAUACCGGCGGCGAUCUGACGCGGAGGCACGAAAGCGUGGGUAUCGAACAGGAUUAGAUACCCGGGUAGUC